Molecule: small nuclear RNA, 107 nt
Filed under: Saimiri boliviensis boliviensis (Bolivian squirrel monkey)
Lineage: Eukaryota; Metazoa; Chordata; Mammalia; Primates; Cebidae
Source: RNAcentral
GUGCUUGCCUCGGCAGCAGAUAUACUAAAGUUGGAACGAUAAAGAGAAGAUUAGCAUGGCCCCUGCGCAAGCAUGACAUGCAAAUUCGUCAAGCGUUCCAUGUUUUU